GUACCUACAGAAGAAGUCCCGGCAAACUCCGUGCCAGCAGCCGCGGUAAUACGGAGGGGGCAAGCGUUGUUCGGAAUUAUUGGGCGUAAAGGGCAUGUAGGCGGUUCGGUAAGUUAAAGGUGAAAUGCCAGGGCUUAACCCUGGAGCUGCUUUUAAUACUGCCAGACUAGAGUCCGGGAGAGGAUAGCGGAAUUCCUAGUGUAGAGGUGAAAUUCGUAGAUAUUAGGAGGAACACCAGUGGCGAAGGCGGCUAUCUGGUCCGGUACUGACGCUGAGGUGCGAAAGCGUGGG
Molecule: ribosomal RNA, 291 nt
Filed under: Anaplasma phagocytophilum
Lineage: Bacteria; Pseudomonadati; Pseudomonadota; Alphaproteobacteria; Rickettsiales; Anaplasmataceae
Description: partial 16S ribosomal RNA
Rfam family: Bacterial small subunit ribosomal RNA
Source: RNAcentral